This 501-nucleotide ribosomal RNA is filed under the name uncultured bacterium. RNAcentral's name for it is "partial 16S ribosomal RNA". It matches the Rfam family "Bacterial small subunit ribosomal RNA", at positions 30 to 523 of the family's 1533-position model. The record is from RNAcentral.
AUUGAACGCUGGCGGCAUGCCUUACACAUGCAAGUCGAACGGCAGCACGGGUGCUUGCACCUGGUGGCGAGUGGCGAACGGGUGAGUAAUACAUCGGAACGUACCUUAUCGUGGGGGAUAACGCAGCGAAAGCUGUGCUAAUACCGCAUAAGCCCUGAGGGGGAAAGCGGGGGAUCGAAAGACCUCGCGCGAUUAGAGCGGCCGAUGCCUGAUUAGCUUGUUGGUGGGGUAAAAGCCCACCAAGGCGACGAUCAGUAGCUGGUCUGAGAGGACGAUCAGCUGCACUGGGACUGAGACACGGCCCAGACUCCUACGGGAGGCAGCAGUGGGUAAUUUUGGACAAUGGGGGCAACACUGAGCCAGCAAUGCCGCGUGAGUGAAGAAGGCCUUCGGGUUGUAAAGCUCUUUUGUCAGGGAAGAAACACCGGCUCUAACUCAGUCCGGGAAUGACGGUACCUGAAGAAUAAGCACCGGCUAACUACGUGCCAGCAGCCGCGGUAA